RNAcentral lists this non-coding RNA (45 nucleotides) under unclassified sequences. The record is from RNAcentral.
UGGGGAAAGCGAUCUCCCCACGAGGCGACAUGCCGAAGCAGUCGC